This is a long non-coding RNA of Gallus gallus (chicken), 379 nucleotides long. The record is from Ensembl. Lineage: Eukaryota; Metazoa; Chordata; Aves; Galliformes; Phasianidae.
GCAAAGGAAGACAAAGAACUGAUUUUGCCUGAGCUGGCAGCAUUUUCCUCUUGGCCUUGCUGUUCAAGGAGCAUUUUCAGAUUGGCAGGAGGCACUUAUGCCGUUGAUGAGAAACUCGCAGGAGCAAACAUGGAGUAUGAAUACCACUGAAACAAAUUUCAAAGAGAUCCAGGUCUGCUGUGGUUGAUCUUCCUCUCUACCAUCAUCUCAUUCUGACUAUGGAUAAAAGCACCUGUUUCUUGAUUUAAAGAAAACUGCUGCAGAAUUCAGUGGAGGGCUGGAAGGACAAAUGCUACGUUGGUGGAGUUCACCAGUACCCUUGUAUCCACUGUUCUUCCACUGACAGAAAAUAGUUUCUUGCCACUAUGUGAAGACACAG